GAUGCUACCAAAAAUCGUACCUGUAGAUUUUCCGAGCUUGAUGACUGAUGAUGAGCACGAACGUGAUCUUCCGAUACCUGAAACAAAGGCAACGAGGUGUGUUCUCGUCGCCCCUCCGAUGUUUAAGUCAGAAAGGGAAAUAUAUGCGUGAGGCUAUAUGCUGAAGAACAAUGAGAAAAACGUACCUGAAUAAUGGCCCAAGGUUCUGCUUUUAUAGGAGUAGGUAGUGUACUCCUAGUAGGAUUGUGUUGGUUGGAUGUUUUUAUCCAAGGGAAUUUCUAUUAUAAAG
RNAcentral lists this long non-coding RNA (289 nucleotides) under Olea europaea (common olive). RNAcentral describes it as "long non-coding RNA (OEUR_LNC000409)". The record is from RNAcentral. Lineage: Eukaryota; Viridiplantae; Streptophyta; Magnoliopsida; Lamiales; Oleaceae.